Nylanderia fulva is the source of this 3914-nucleotide RNA transcript. It is a transcript of the gene named FHIP family protein AGAP011705, with no coding region annotated. The record is from RefSeq and is a predicted model, not a curated record. NCBI's taxonomy places the organism in Eukaryota, Metazoa, Arthropoda, Insecta, Hymenoptera, Formicidae.
UCGAUGAUCUACGGUAUCAAGAUCAAGAGUGCGCAUCUGAAAAUCCGAAUAUGUAUUUUUUUAAUGACAGCCAAAGGUAUUACUUCGAAUAAUUCUCGACAAUAUAUGCUAGUCACGAUUAGUCGCAACGAAUGAAAAUAUGUAACGCAAAAAAAAAAAAAAAAAUUAAUAAAAUGAGAAGAGAACAAGAAGAAAAUAAUAUCAAGUCAAACUCGAAUAAUUCGUGAAACGCGAAACUGACGAAUGAAUCACCGGAUUAUCAUCGAUGAUAAUUUAUUCUCACAUGCAUAUUUUUAUCGACAAUCCCCUGAUAAGGAUUGAGGGAACUCCAUUUUACUGGUAUAUGCAAAUAUUUUGCUGGAAACGAGGCGACGCGUCAUCGAGGCUGCGAACGUGAUGACUUGGAAACUGACAGUAUCGCAUUUGUGAAGAAUUGACAUAUAUAUAUAUAUAUAUUUUUGCAAAGAUGAGCUGGCUGCAAAAUAGCCCACUGCGCACCAGCUUCAGCAAGCAACGGUCCAGAAACUCUCCACCGAAGAAUGCCGAUCCGUCCGCAUGUUACGACAGCUUCUGCAAACAUUGGCAACAGACUUAUGAAAUUAUUGUACACUCCUUACCUCUUAAAGGAGUACCUAGUCAAGAUGAUGUGCUUGGAGUUGUUAAUCACAUUGAUCAAAUGGUGACGUUACUGAUGCUGGAACUGCGGGACUCUAAUUCACAUAAUCACUAUCAACAAGGCAACACAGCAACACAUUCCCCAUGUUUGGAAUAUUUAUUAAGUGAAAAUUUACUUGUUAAACUGUAUGACUGGAGCAUACAUACAGGAAGGUUUAAUAAUGCUGUAAGAUUGGAGCAAAUGAAGCUUUACGAGUUACUCAUUUCAUACAAUAAUGCCCUUCUUGCACAUGAACCAGUCACUAGGCCGCUCUUACGAUUAUUAGAAGAAUGUGCAAACGACAUUAUGCCAUUAGAAGUAGAAAAAAAAUUAGUAGUAUUAUUGAAUCAGUUGUGUGUAGUCUUAAUGCAAAAUAUGGCUUUGCUUGACUUGUUUUUUCAAUCAAAUGCAGUUGGAAAGAAUAAAUUUAUUAUAUUUAAUUUAUUAAUACCUUACAUUCAUCGAGAGGGUGGCGUUGGCCAGCAAGCACGUGAUGCUAUGUUAUUAUGUAUGUCACUCUCGAAGAAGAAUGACGAAGUUGGAUUAUACAUCGCCGACUCCAACAUAUGUCCUGUACUAGCGACAGGAUUGAGUGGGCUUUACUCUUUACUUCCGAGAAAACUUGGAAUUGAGACAGAUGAUUGGUAUCAACUUACACCAGACGACGUAAAUGACUUACCUGCACUUAUGCAGCUCAUGAAUUCUCUAGAGUUCUGCAAUGCGGUUGCACAAGUGGCACAUCCGAUGGUACAGAAACAGUUACUUGAAUUUUUAUACCAAGGUUUUUUAGUUCCUGUCAUGGGUCCAGCAUUGUUACAGGAUUCUCUUGGCUUGACCCUAGAACAGCUAGAUGUACAACAAUAUUGGACUACUGUGGAAGAAUUAGUCGCAGCGACAGCUUAUUUUGAUUUAUUUCUUCGAUCCGUCACCGAUCCUGGCUUGUUACAGUCGCUUAUUAGAUUUCUACUAGAGUAUAAUUACGAUGACUGUAGGAUAUUGGAUAGUUUGAUACAAAGGAUCUCUUCUCGAUCAAGGUUAUGCAUAGUUACCCUGGCGUUGUUCGAAACCCUGGUAAACUUAAACUGCGAGGACAUUAUGCUGGAACUCUGUUUGAGCGCGUUAAAUCCCUGCUCGCACGUAAUGCUUUCCCAACGCAGUCGACUGAGGGACAUAGAUCCGUUUGGGCGCGCCGCGGAGAAGUUCGUGUCGCUGACCCCGGGUUGCUGCUCCGCGUCCACGCUGAACUCGCAGACCAACUCCCUACCCAGCAGCAUGUCGUCCACGUACGACAGAUACGCGUACGACCCGCUAAAAUCCUUGCCGGCGUCCAUGAACUACGGCGCCAGGUUGUCGGACAGCCUGUACGGGAACUAUCACGCCUACCUCUGCGACGCCAGGCAGAAGAUCAAGGCCUGCCGCAUCGCCUGCUCCAACUGGUCCCGCCCCUACGACGGCAACGACUCGCUGCAGAGCAACACCAGCGAGAGUAUCAUGUCCGAUCAGAGGAGGCUAGAGGAGUCCAGGACGUUGUCGCAGUUGAAGUACGCGAGCCUGUGCGAAAACGAGGAGAACGAGCUGAUAGACAACGUGCUGUUCAACUUCCAGUGUCUGUUGGAAGGCAAGGAUUUGAACAGCAAUGAACGCAGCGGCGUGAAGAACGAAUUGACGAUGGACUCCGAUGUGCUGUCCUUGGACGAGCAGGCGCAGUUGGACGCCGAUAUCGCGGAAUUGUUGAACGAGGACAUCGGAGGAACGAACUCUGCGGAGGAGACCUGUCUGGAGAAGAGGGAACCUGAUAGUUGCACGAAUAAUAAUAAUAAUAAUGAUUCCACGACUGUAAACUCGCUCGUGUCCUUGGGAGAGAGCAGCGGCUACGAGAGCUUCGCGUUGAAGGGAGGCUCGAUGGAGUCCACUCCGGAGAACGAGGCGAGUGAAGAGGUGGAGGAAGAUGUGAACGAGGCGACUGCGAUUGAAGAAGAGAUUAUCAACGACGUUGCCGAUCGUCAUCGUGACAAUGUAGCAGAAUUGAAUCCUGGGAAAAUGUCGUCGAGCAUCGACUCGAAUAGGAAUAACAAUACUUCUCUGUAUCGGCAGGAUGUGUUCAACGGACAGCCGAACAUCGGCAUAUUUCUAGACGUAGUUUUGCGAAAGCUCGAGUGUAUGAUUAGCAAUAACUUGUACGUCAAUUUGCAUCUCACAGGUCUCAUCAGCAGACUGGCGAUAUAUCCGCAACCUCUGUUGCAGUCCUUUCUGCUGAAUCAUUCUCUUGUAUUUCAACCUAGCAUCAGAUCCUUGUUUCAGGUGCUGGCAUCGUUAAAGCACAAAAUAGAUAAUUUUCUGUCAAAACACAAUAAUGUAGAUUUAUUGGUUGAACAAGCAAGAUUAUUUCUGAUUAGUCGAGAGGACAAGCUAGUAAAUGCAAGAAAAAAUGUAUUGGAAGCUGCUGCUCAAUCCUCGUCUGUUAAGAAGCAUUCUCUGACUGGUGAACCAUUCUCAAGAGUAUUUAAAAAACGGGAAUCAAAAAGAAGAAGUUUGACAUUAUCAUUUACACAAAUGUUCAGACGCUCAAGUAAUAGCCUAGGUCUAAGCAGCUUAACAAAUUCUAUCAGUCAGCCGUCCAGUAUGUCAGAGGAUCAGUUACAAAUGGUUGGUUCUGGAUAUAGAUAUAUGAAAUCUUCAUGGGAAUCGCCAGAUGAAGUGAGUCCAGUACAAAAUAUUGUUUUAUGUGCUGUUAUAUUGGAUGAAUGGCUUAAAGAGCUCGCGGCAAUAACUCAAGAACAUGCAAUUAUGUCUCUUACAGAUGGUACUGGAUUUAAAGUUUAACAUACAAAGUGGAGCGAUCGUGAUGCAAAAAGUUCUGUUCUCCGAGAGUCCGGAUUCAAAUCCAGUUAGAAACAUCGGAUCUAUUCGAUCACCACCGAGAAUAUCUUGACAGGAAAAUCUCUCUAAUUUGGCCAUUUGGAACCAGUGUUCAAUUAAAUCCUAUAUUUCGAAAAACUAUAAAAAGGAUUAUAUUUUUGAACAAUAGUAAUAUGUACUAAUUGCGACAAAUUUAUAGCAACAGUACAAUUCAAAGAAUGCAAAGCUAUAAAUAGAAAUAUAUUUAAUUAUUAUUGUAACAGAUUUAAGAAAGUAAGAUUCAACAUUGAUUUUUGCUUUUAAAAUUAAAUCAGUAAUUGACAACAUCGAGAAAUUUCAGUGAUAUAUCUAUGAUGAAUAUUUUAACAAAAUUGAAAACUAAAAAAAAUAUUCAGAGCAA